UUAUUGCCCUUCUAUCCUGCUCUAUACGAGUCAGAAGAAGUCAGGCUCAGUGAUAAAAUAAAGAAGCAGUAAUCUAAGAUACAAGAAAAUUUUAUGUGUACGAAUUUUGUUAUAUAUUAUAUUCUUAUACUCUAUGAUUGCAGGAGAAAAGCAUUGAAUAUAAUGAAAAGAAAAAAAACGACCACUGACCAAAAAAAAAGAUUAUUAUACAUGAAGCAUUAAUUCUAUAUCCAGAAUUUAUGUCACUUAGAAUUUUUUCCUCGAUGCAUCCUAGCAGAAACAGUUUUGUACGAAGAGUAGCAAAUAGCCUAUACAAUUUGCGAACAUCUUCAAGAAUAGAUGUCUGUUCUGAUAAUGGAAUAUUAAGUAUACGUAUUCGUGACACUCACACACAUAGAGAUUCUGCGCUUGCUGGACAAUAAGCAAACGUCGAAGAAAUUUCAAUAGUGAAGACCACACUAGGUGAAGAAGCUGUUGGCAUGUUAUUUAACAUGGACAAGAUAAAAUUCUUGCAAUUGUGUCGCCCUACGCUCUCUCCGUUAUAGAUUUCUAUAUCUCAUAAUGAAUCGUCAUACUCUUUUGGUAUUAAAAUGUUAUUUACUAUUCCCUUACAAAAAAAAACUACAAGAAUACGAAAAAAUUACUGGUAUACUAUUGAAAACUUCAGUUCUUUAAUAGUAUACCAGUAAUUUUUUCGUAUUUUAUAGUUUUUUUUCGUAAGGGUUACACUACUUGUAAAUAUUUAAAUAAUAAAUGUCUCG
Molecule: long non-coding RNA, 761 nt
Organism: Monomorium pharaonis (pharaoh ant)
Lineage: Eukaryota; Metazoa; Arthropoda; Insecta; Hymenoptera; Formicidae
Exons: 3
Source: RefSeq, a predicted model, not a curated record